This 315-nucleotide ribosomal RNA is filed under the name uncultured eukaryote. RNAcentral describes it as "partial 18S ribosomal RNA". It matches the Rfam family "Eukaryotic small subunit ribosomal RNA", at positions 1470 to 1796 of the family's 1831-position model. The record is from RNAcentral.
CCCUUAGAUGUUCUGGGCUGCACGCGCGCUACACUGACGCACGCAACAGGCGCCUGCUCCGAGAGGACUGGGUAAUCAUUUGAGUGUGCGUCGUGAUGGGGAUAGAAUAUUGUAAUUAUUACUCUUCAACGAGGAAUUCCUAGUAAGCGCCAGUCAGCAGCUUGCGCUGAUUACGUCCCUGCCCUUUGUACACACCGCCCGUCGCUCCUACCGAUGGGUGAUCCGGUGAAUGAUUCGGACUUCAGCGGCUCCCCUGGGGUGCGCCGGAGAAAGUUUUGUGAACCUUAUCACUUGGAGGAAGGAGAAGUCGUAACA